RNAcentral lists this ribosomal RNA (510 nucleotides) under uncultured bacterium. RNAcentral describes it as "partial 16S ribosomal RNA". It matches the Rfam family "Bacterial small subunit ribosomal RNA", at positions 28 to 507 of the family's 1533-position model. The record is from RNAcentral.
GAUGAACGCUGGCGGCGUGCUUAACACAUGCAAGUCGAACGAAGAGCGAUGGAAGCUUGCUUCUAUCAAUCUUAGUGGCGAACGGGUGAGUAACGCGUAAUCAACCUGCCCUUCAGAGGGGGACAACAGUUGGAAACGACUGCUAAUACCGCAUACGAUCUAAUCUCGGCAUCGAGGAUAGAUGAAAGGUGGCCUCUACAUGUAAGCUAUCACUGAAGGAGGGGAUUGCGUCUGAUUAGCUAGUUGGAGGGGUAACGGCCCACCAAGGCGAUGAUCAGUAGCCGGUCUGAGAGGAGGAACGGCCACAUUGGGACUGAGACACGGCCCAGACUCCUACGGGAGGCAGCAGUGGGGAAUCUUCCGCAAUGGACGAAAGUCUGACGGAGCAACGCCGCGUGAGUGAUGACGGCCGUCGGGUUGUAAAGCUCUGUUAAUCGGGACGAAAGGCCUUCUUGCGAAUAGUGAGAAGGAUUGACGGUACCGGAAUAGAAAGCCACGGCUAACUACGUG